UGGGGAAUAUUGGGCAAUGGGCGCAAGCCUGACCCAGCAACGCCGCGUGAAGGAAGAAGGCUUUCGGGUUGUAAACUUCUUUUCUUGGGGACGAAGCAAGUGACGGUACCCAAGGAAUAAGCCACGGCUAACUACGUGCC
This 140-nucleotide ribosomal RNA is filed under the name uncultured bacterium. RNAcentral's name for it is "partial 16S ribosomal RNA". It matches the Rfam family "Bacterial small subunit ribosomal RNA", at positions 355 to 509 of the family's 1533-position model. The record is from RNAcentral.